AACGAACGCUGGCGGCAUGCCUAACACAUGCAAGUCGAACGAGACCUUCGGGUCUAGUGGCGCACGGGUGCGUAACGCGUGGGAACCUGCCCUUAGGUUCGGAAUAACUCAGAGAAAUGUGUGCUAAUACCGGAUGAUGUCUUCGGACCAAAGAUUUAUCGCCUUUAGAUGGGCCCGCGUUGGAUUAGCUAGUUGGUGGGGUAAAGGCCUACCAAGGCGACGAUCCAUAGCUGGUCUGAGAGGAUGAUCAGCCACACUGGGACUGAGACACGGCCCAGACUCCUACGGGAGGCAGCAGUGGGGAAUAUUGGACAAUGGGCGAAAGCCUGAUCCAGCAAUGCCGCGUGAGUGAUGAAGGCCUUAGGGUUGUAAAGCUCUUUUACCCGGGAUGAUAAUGACAGUAUCGGGAGAAUAAGCUCCGGCUAACUCCGUG
RNAcentral lists this ribosomal RNA (433 nucleotides) under uncultured bacterium. RNAcentral describes it as "partial 16S ribosomal RNA". It matches the Rfam family "Bacterial small subunit ribosomal RNA", at positions 29 to 507 of the family's 1533-position model. The record is from RNAcentral.